This 586-nucleotide ribosomal RNA is filed under the name Komagataea norvegica. Its description in RNAcentral is "eukaryotic LSU rRNA". It matches the Rfam family "Eukaryotic large subunit ribosomal RNA", at positions 48 to 642 of the family's 3401-position model. Lineage: Eukaryota; Fungi; Ascomycota; Saccharomycetes; Phaffomycetales; Wickerhamomycetaceae. The record is from RNAcentral.
AAGCGGAGGAAAAGAAACCAACAGGGAUUGCCUCAGUAACGGCGAGUGAAGCGGCAAAAGCUCAAAUUUGAAAUCUGGCAGCCUCGCUGUCCGAGUUGUAAUUUGAAGAUUUCUCUUUGUGAGAGGCGCCUUGUCUAUGUUCCUUGGAACAGGACGUCGCAGAGGGUGAGAAUCCCGUGUGAUGAGGCCGCCGAUCCGUGUAAAGAGUCAUCGACGAGUCGAGUUGUUUGGGAAUGCAGCUCUAAGUGGGUGGUAAACUCCAUCUAAAGCUAAAUAUUGGCGAGAGACCGAUAGCGAACAAGUACAGUGAUGGAAAGAUGAAAAGAACUUUGAAAAGAGAGUGAAAAAGUACGUGAAAUUGUUGAAAGGGAAGGUUAUUAGAUCAGACUUGGCGGCGCGCCAUACCUGUCCUUUUGUAGGGCGGACACUGGCGCGUGUUUGCUGGGCCAGCAUCGAUUCGGGCGGCGGGACAUGGUCCUGUGGGAUGUGGCUGUUUUAACACAGUGUUAUAACCACGGGUCUCUGCCGCCUGCCUGGAUCGAGGACUGCGUCUGUUACAGACUAGGAUGCUGCGUAGACUGCCGUA